GGCUGGCGGCGUGCCUAAUACAUGCAAGUCGAGCGGACAGAUGGGAGCUUGCUCCCUGAUGUUAGCGGCGGACGGGUGAGUAACACGUGGGUAACCUGCCUGUAAGACUGGGAUAACUCCGGGAAACCGGGGCUAAUACCGGAUGGUUGUUUGAACCGCAUGGUUCAAACAUAAAAGGUGGCUUCGGCUACCACUUACAGAUGGACCCGCGGCGCAUUAGCUAGUUGGUGAGGUAACGGCUCACCAAGGCAACGAUGCGUAGCCGACCUGAGAGGGUGAUCGGCCACACUGGGACUGAGACACGGCCCAGACUCCUACGGGAGGCAGCAGUAGGGAAUCUUCCGCAAUGGACGAAAGUCUGACGGAGCAACGCCGCGUGAGUGAUGAAGGUUUUCGGAUCGUAAAGCUCUGUUGUUAGGGAAGAACAAGUACCGUUCGAAUAGGGCGGUACCUUGACGGUACCUAACCAGAAAGCCACGGCUAACUACGUGCCAGCAGCCGCGGUAAUACGUAGGUGGCAAGCGUUGUCCGGAAUUAUUGGGCGUAAAGGGCUCGCAGGCGGUUUCUUAAGUCUGAUGUGAAAGCCCCCGGCUCAACCGGGGAGGGUCAUUGGAAACUGGGGGAACUUGAGUGCAGAAGAGGAGAGUGGAAUUCCACGUGUAGCGGUGAAA
RNAcentral lists this ribosomal RNA (671 nucleotides) under Bacillus sp. SRCpb.01. Its description in RNAcentral is "bacterial SSU rRNA". It matches the Rfam family "Bacterial small subunit ribosomal RNA", at positions 34 to 686 of the family's 1533-position model. The record is from RNAcentral. Lineage: Bacteria; Bacillati; Bacillota; Bacilli; Caryophanales; Bacillaceae.